AUGUCGAUUUGGAGGUUGUGCCCUUGAGGCGUGGCUUCCGGAGCUAACGCGUUAAAUCGACCGCCUGGGGAGUACGGCCGCAAGGUUAAAACUCAAAUGAAUUGACGGGGGCCCGCACAAGCGGUGGAGCAUGUGGUUUAAUUCGAUGCAACGCGAAGAACCUUACCUACUCUUGACAUCCAGAGAACUUUCCAGAGAUGGAUUGGUGCCUUCGGGAACUCCGAGACAGGUGCUGCAUGGCUGUCGUCAGCUCGUGUUGUGAAAUGUUGGGUUAAGUCCCGCAACGAGCGCAACCCUUAUCCUUUGUUGCCAGCGGUUCGGCCGGGAACUCAAAGGAGACUGCCAGUGAUAAACUGGAGGAAGGUGGGGAUGACGUCAAGUCAUCAUGGCCCUUACGAGUAGGGCUACACACGUGCUACAAUGGCAUAUACAAAGAGAAGCGACCUCGCGAGAGCAAGCGGACCUCAUAAAGUAUGUCGUAGUCCGGAUUGGAGUCUGCAACUCGACUCCAUGAAGUCGGAAUCGCUAGUAAUCGUAGAUCAGAAUGCUACGGUGAAUACGUUCCCGGGCCUUGUACACACCGCCCGUCACACCAUGGGAGUGGGUUGCAAAAGAAGUAGGUAGCUUAACCUUCGGGAGGGCGCUUACCACUUUGUGAUUCAUGACUGGGGUGAAGUCGUAACAAGGUAACCGUAGGGGAACCUGC
Molecule: ribosomal RNA, 706 nt
Filed under: uncultured bacterium
Lineage: Bacteria
Description: bacterial SSU rRNA
Rfam family: Bacterial small subunit ribosomal RNA
Source: RNAcentral